GUAGAAUUCCAGCUUUGGGUGUUGGUGGUGAGGUUUAAUGUCUCUUCCUUGA
This 52-nucleotide transfer RNA is filed under the name Stenella attenuata (bridled dolphin). Its description in RNAcentral is "tRNA-Pro". Lineage: Eukaryota; Metazoa; Chordata; Mammalia; Artiodactyla; Delphinidae. The record is from RNAcentral.